Molecule: transfer RNA, 73 nt
Filed under: Stegodyphus mimosarum
Lineage: Eukaryota; Metazoa; Arthropoda; Arachnida; Araneae; Eresidae
Rfam family: tRNA
About the family: Transfer RNA (tRNA) molecules are approximately 80 nucleotides in length.
Source: Rfam by way of RNAcentral
GCCUUCGUGGUUUACUGGUCAGCACGCUGGGCGCGUAUUCCAGAGGUCCGUGGUUCGAGUCCCGACGAAGGCG